CCUACGGGUGGCAGCAGUGGGGAAUAUUGGACAAUGGGGGCAACCCUGAUCCAGCCAUGCCGCGUGUGUGAAGAAGGCCCUCGGGUUGUAAAGCACUUUCAGUGAGGAAGAACGCCUGGUGGUUAAUACCCAUCAGGAAAGACAUCACUCACAGAAGAAGCACCGGCUAACUCCGUGCCAGCAGCCGCGGUAAUACGGAGGGUGCGAGCGUUAAUCGGAAUUACUGGGCGUAAAGCGCGCGUAGGUGGCUUGAUAAGCCGGUUGUGAAAGCCCCGGGCUCAACCUGGGAACGGCAUCCGGAACUGUCAUGCUAGAGUGCAGGAGAGGUAGGUAGAAUUCGCGGUGUAGCGGUGAAAUGCGUAGAGAUCGGGAGGAAUACCAGUGGCGAAGGCGGCCUUCUGGACUGACACUGACACUGAGGUGCGAAAGCGUGGGUAGCAAACAGGAUUAGAUACCCCAGUAGUC
This 465-nucleotide ribosomal RNA is filed under the name Vreelandella stevensii. Its description in RNAcentral is "partial 16S ribosomal RNA". It matches the Rfam family "Bacterial small subunit ribosomal RNA", at positions 338 to 795 of the family's 1533-position model. The record is from RNAcentral. Lineage: Bacteria; Pseudomonadati; Pseudomonadota; Gammaproteobacteria; Oceanospirillales; Halomonadaceae.